This 954-nucleotide long non-coding RNA is filed under the name Rattus norvegicus (Norway rat). Its description in RNAcentral is "long non-coding RNA NONRATT013030". The record is from RNAcentral. Lineage: Eukaryota; Metazoa; Chordata; Mammalia; Rodentia; Muridae.
UUUGGGAGACGUGAGACUGACCCUGCGGCCAGGGCACCAGGACUUACGGUGAUCCGGUUCCAGCGGAGAGAGAACAGCAAACUUGUGAUUCUUGAACGGUGGUUCUGGCUGGUACACAGAAACUUCCAAACCUCGCAGCUGGGAAGACCAGAGGCUGGAGUCUCUCAGGAUACAGUCAAAAGAAAGGUCUCCAAAACAAAGUGCCUGAAGCAAGGGAUGGCACUGGCCUUGGUGAGUGUGUGUUCAUGUGUUUUUCCUCUUUUUUUUUUUUUAAACUUCUUUGAGAGUUUUCAACAUGUUCUGAUCAUAUUCUGUUCCCACACAUACCUCUUCCCAGAUCCACCCUAACAAGCGUGCAUACUCUUUGGCUCCCCUGAAUCUGAAGGAGGAGCUUCAGGUAAUGAGAGAAUCACUAUUGUUCAUGGUAUCAGAGGUCUGGCCUUGGGGAGGGGAUCCUAACAGACUAAAUUUAGUGACUUGUCACUCAGUCCAAUGAGAGAGAUGUGUGGUAGUGAAACAAGAUAAGAACCAGUUACUUAGCAAAUCCAUAUUGGGAAGAAGCAGGAAGACAGUGUCCUUAGCCCUGUCUUCAGUGCCCUGACUCAGAGUUAAAUGGAGAAAGGACAAAUGCUGAGAGGAGAGAGAGCACAUAACAGUCCUUGUCGAUCUGUCUUGGACAAACUGACCAGUCAUUUCAUGCUGGGUCUGUAAGGUCCUAAUACCUCCAGAAAAGUUACUAUUGCCGAGGCAGCCAAUGCUGGUUAGUGGACACUAUCAUGGGUGAUCUGUCUGCAGAGUUCUUAGUGUCUUGAAAAUAACUUAUUCUUAUCUUGGUGACAUUAGCCUUAAAAGGGGACUAGAAGCUAUGUGUGGUAGUAUAGGACUUUAAUCUCAAAUUCCAGGCCAGUCAGUACCACAUAGUACUAAGAGCCUGUCUUAAAAGAUAAAAAAACA